ACAAAAUUCGUAGGUGCUCGAGUUGUGCCAAAUAAUGAACAGACUCCAGAGCGCUGUUGCCGUUAACAGCGAGGCGCUGUUGCCAUUAACAGCGAGGCGCUGUUGCCAUUAACAGCGAGGCGCUGUUGCCGUUAACAGAGCUCGCUUUGCGCUCUGUUCGCCUUGAGGAGAAGGGAAAAGAGUUUGGUGGACGUGAAGUUGUGAAUGGGCUUUAAGGGGAUAAGGUGUUUCGUUUCGUAAUUGUAAUUGUA
Molecule: long non-coding RNA, 251 nt
Organism: Drosophila navojoa
Lineage: Eukaryota; Metazoa; Arthropoda; Insecta; Diptera; Drosophilidae
Source: RefSeq, a predicted model, not a curated record